Molecule: unclassified non-coding RNA, 329 nt
Filed under: soil metagenome
Description: partial contains 5.8S ribosomal RNA, internal transcribed spacer 2, and large subunit ribosomal RNA
Rfam family: 5.8S ribosomal RNA (bases 1-120)
Source: RNAcentral
GAUGAAGAACGUAGCGAAAUGCGAUAAGUAGUGUGAAUUGCAGAAUUCAGUGAAUCAUCGAAUCUUUGAACGCACAUUGCGCCCCUUGGUAUCCCGAGGGGCAUGCCUGUUCGAGCGUCAUUUCACCACUCAAGCCUGGCUUGGUGUUGGGCGACGUCCUCUUUGGGGACGCGCCUCGAAACGCUCGGCGGCGUGGCACCGGCUUUAAGCGUAGCAGAAUCUUUCGCUUUGGAAGUCGGGGCCCCGGCUGCCGGAAGACCUGCUCGCAAGGUUGACCUCGGAUCAGGCAGGGAUACCCGCUGAACUUAAGCAUAUCAAUAAGCGGAGGA